UUGACCUCGGAUCAAGUAGGACUACCCGUUGAACUUAAGCAUAUCAAUAAGCGGAGGAAAAGAAACCAACAGGGAUUGCCCCAGUAACGGCGAGUGAAGCGGCAACAGCUCAGAUUUGGAAUCUGGCCCCUAGGGCCCGAGUUGUAAUCUGGAGAGGAUGUUUCUGGCGCGGCGCCUUCCGAGUUCCCUGGAACGGGACGCCGGAGAGGGUGAGAGCCCCGUACGGUUGGACGCCUAGCCUUUGUGAAGCUCCUUCGACGAGUCGAGUAGUUUGGGAAUGCUGCUCAAAAUGGGAGGUAAAUUUCUUCUAAAGCUAAAUACCGGCCAGAGACCGAUAGCGCACAAGUAGAGUGAUCGAAAGAUGAAAAGCACUUUGAAAAGAGGGUCAAACAGUACGUGAAAUUGUUGAAAGGGAAG
Molecule: ribosomal RNA, 417 nt
Filed under: Leptographium piceaperdum
Lineage: Eukaryota; Fungi; Ascomycota; Sordariomycetes; Ophiostomatales; Ophiostomataceae
Description: eukaryotic LSU rRNA
Rfam family: Eukaryotic large subunit ribosomal RNA
Source: RNAcentral